This 862-nucleotide long non-coding RNA is filed under the name Leguminivora glycinivorella. RNAcentral's name for it is "uncharacterized LOC125226307, transcript variant X2". Lineage: Eukaryota; Metazoa; Arthropoda; Insecta; Lepidoptera; Tortricidae. The record is from RNAcentral.
CAUCAACAGUCGAAUACUGACCGUUGUACUUGUGCAUCAUGGACAGAUACCUUUUAUUUUUAGUUAUUGCUGGAUUUGGUAUUUGUGGGGCUAAUCCUUUAGAUAAGGGGGACAACGAUGAAACAGCUAUAUAGUGCAGUGGCAACGAAGUGUUCUCUUCAUGCACCAACGGGGGCUGUGAUGCCCGCAACUGUAGUCAGCUUGGGAAGCCCGUACCCUGUGUUAAGUUGCGAGCAGACAGCUGCAUCAAGGGAUGUCUGUGCAAACCGGGAUAUUUGAGAGCGGCAAGCGGAAAGUGUGUGGAAGAGGCAGAAUGUCAUAAGGAACGCUGUACGGGCCCUCACGAGUACUACUCAUGCGGCGGCGCGUGCGACAACGUCUGUGCAACGUUACACGAACAAAGUCAGAACAACUGCCCUAUAAGGAACAUUAGGUGUAACGAUAUGUGUUACUGCGAGGAAGGGUAUGCAAGAGACGGGAACGGCAUAUGUGUUCCUAUAGAAUCUUGUCAACAAUAGCUACCUACAUUCACAUCUGCUCAAUAUUACACGAACAAAGUCAGAACAUCUGCCCUAUAAGGAACAUUAGCUGUAACGAUGUGUGUUACUGUGUAUGCAAGAGACGGGAAGGCAUAUGUGUUCCUAUAGAAUUAUGUCAACAAUAACUACCUAGAUUCAUGUCUGCUCAACGUUACACGAACGGAGCCAGAAGAAUUGGCCUAUAUAAGGAACAUUCUGGUGUACCUAACGAAGUGUGUUACUGCAAGAAAGGGUAUGCAUAAAGGUAGAUAUGAGAAGAUGGGAAAGGCAUAUGUGUUCCUAAUAUAUUUAAUUUUUUAAGUAAAAUAAAAUAUCAUACCUGU